Molecule: ribosomal RNA, 253 nt
Filed under: uncultured bacterium
Lineage: Bacteria
Description: partial 16S ribosomal RNA
Rfam family: Bacterial small subunit ribosomal RNA
Source: RNAcentral
UACAGAGGGGGCAAGCGUUAUUCGGAAUUAUUGGGCGUAAAGGGCGCGUAGGCGGCUUGGCAAGUGGAAGGUGAAAUCCCUCGGCUUAACCGAGGAACUGCCCUCCAAACUGCUUCGCUUGAGACCGGGAGAGGUGAGUGGAAUUCCCAGUGUAGCGGUGAAAUGCGUAGAUAUUGGGAGGAACACCAGCGGCGAAGGCGGCUCACUGGACCGGUACUGACGCUGAUGCGCGAAAGCGUGGGGAGCAAACGGG